Molecule: ribosomal RNA, 306 nt
Filed under: Triticum aestivum (bread wheat)
Lineage: Eukaryota; Viridiplantae; Streptophyta; Magnoliopsida; Poales; Poaceae
Description: partial small subunit ribosomal RNA
Source: RNAcentral
AUGUUGCUAGAUAACGGUGAACCUUCGAACUAUGAAGAAGCGAUGGCGGGCCCAGAUUUCAACAAAUGGCUUGAAGCCAUGCAAUCCGAGAUAGGAUCCAUGUAUGAAAACAAAUUAUGGACUUUGACAGACUUGCCCGAUGAUCGGCGAGCAAUAGAAAAUAAAUGGAUCUUUAAGAAGAAGACGAACGCGGAUGGUAAUAUUACCAUCUAUAAGGCUCGACUUGUCGCUAAGGUUAUCGACAAGUUCAAGGAGUUGACUACGAUGAGACAAGUUCAAGGAGUUGACUACGACAAGUUCCCGUAG